UGGGGAAUAUUGCACAAUGGGGGGAACUCUGAUGCAGCGACGCCGCGUGAACGAAGAAGGCUUUCGAGUCGUAAAGUUCUUUUAUAUGGGAAGAUAAUGACGGUACCAUAAGAAAAACCCCCGCCUAACUACGUGCCAGCAGCCGCGGUAAUACGUAGGGGGCUAGCGUUGUCCGGAAUCACUGGGCGUAAAGGGUUCGCAGGCGGAAAUGCAAGUCAGGUGUAAAAGGCAGUAGCUUAACUACUGUAAGCAUUUGAAACUGCAUAUCUUGAGAAGAGUAGAGGUAAGUGGAAUUUUUAGUGUAGCGGUGAAAUGCGUAGAUAUUAAAAGAAUACCGGUGGCGAAGGCGACUUACUGGGCUCAUUCUGACGCUGAGGAACGAAAGCGUGGGUAGCAAACAGG
RNAcentral lists this ribosomal RNA (402 nucleotides) under Fusobacteriota bacterium. Its description in RNAcentral is "Fusobacteria bacterium partial 16S ribosomal RNA". It matches the Rfam family "Bacterial small subunit ribosomal RNA", at positions 355 to 776 of the family's 1533-position model. Lineage: Bacteria; Fusobacteriati; Fusobacteriota. The record is from RNAcentral.